CCUACGGGAGGCAGCAGUGAGGAAUAUUGGUCAAUGGGCGGAAGCCUGAACCAGUCAAGUCGCGUGAGGGAUUAAGGCCCUGCGGGUCGUAAACCUCUUUUGCCGGGGAGCAGAGGUCCGGACGUGUCCGGGCCGGGAGAGUACCCGGAGAAAAAGCAUCGGCUAACUCCGUGCCAGCAGCCGCGGUAAUACGGAGGAUGUGAGCGUUAUCCGGAUUUAUUGGGUUUAAAGGGUGCGUAGGCGGGCAUUUAAGCCGGCGGUCAAAUGUCGGGGCUCAACCCCGGCCUGCCGUUGGAACCGGGUGCCUUGAGUGGGCGAGAAGUAUGCGGAAUGCGUGGUGUAGCGGUGAAAUGCAUAGAUAUCACGCAGAACCCCGAUUGCGAAGGCAGCAUACCGGCGCCCUACUGACGCUGAGGCACGAAAGUGCGGGUAUCGAACAGGAUUAGAUACCCUGGUAGUC
RNAcentral lists this ribosomal RNA (460 nucleotides) under uncultured bacterium. RNAcentral's name for it is "partial 16S ribosomal RNA". It matches the Rfam family "Bacterial small subunit ribosomal RNA", at positions 338 to 795 of the family's 1533-position model. The record is from RNAcentral.